GUUUGAUUCUGGCUCAGGAUAAACGCUGGCGGCGUGCCUAACACAUGCAAGUCGAACGCGGUUCGUGAGGAAACUUAUGGACCGAGUGGCGGACGGGUGAGUAACACGUGGGUUAUCUACCUUGAGGUGAGGAAUACCGGCGAGAAAUCGCCGACAAUACCGCAUCGGUUUGGCAACAAACAAAGUUCCGGGAUCUCCCGGGACGCCACAAGAUGAGCCUGCGCCCGAUUAUGCUUCGUUGGUGGGGUAAAAGCCUACCAAGGCGACAAUCGGUAGCUGGUCUGAGAGGACGAUCAGCCACACUGGGAUUGAGAACGGCCCAGACUCCUACGGGGGGCAGCAGUGAGGAAUUUUCGUCAAUGGGGGCAACCCUGAACGAGCAACGCCGCGUGCAGGAAGAAGGUUUUCGGAUCGUAAACUGCUUUUCCUGGGGAAGAAGAAGGACGGUACCCAGGGAAGAAGCCCCGGCUAACUACGUGCCAGCAGCCGCGGUAAUACGUAGGGGGCAAGCGUUGUCCGGAUUUAUUGGGCGUAAAGCGCACGCAGGCGGUCUGUCUCGUUUCCAGUGACAGGUGGUGGCUUAACUACCACAGGCCUGGGAAGACCGGCAGACUUGAGGGCUUCAGAGGGAGGCGGAAUUCCAGGUGGAGCGGUGAAAUGCGUAGAGAUCUGGAAGAACACCAAAGGCGAAGGCAGCCUCCUGGGAAACUCCUGACGCUGAUGUGCGAAAGCCAGGGGAGCGAACGGGAUUAGAUACCCCGGUAGUCCUGGCCGUAAACGAUGACCACUAGACGUGGGAGGUAUCGACCCCUUCCGUGUCAAAGCUCACGCAUGAAAUGGUCCGCCUGGGGAGUACGGUCCCAAGAAUAAAACUCCAAAGGAAUUGACGGGGAGCCGCUCAAGCAGCGGAGCGUGGUGGUUUAAUUCGAGGCAACGCGAAGAACCUUACCAAGACUUGACAUGGGCGUGAAAGCCGCCGUAAUGGGUGGUGGCCGGGGAAACUCGGACAGGUUCACAGGUGCUGCAUGGCUGUCGUCAGCUCGUGUCGUGAGAUGUUGGGUUAAGACCCGCAACGAGCGCAACCCCUAUCGUUAGUUGAAUCUUCUAGCGAGACUGCCACGCUAAACGUGGAGGAAGGUGGGGAUGACGUCAAGUCAGCACGGCCCUUACGUCUUGGGCGACACACACGCUACAAUGGUCGGGACAAAGGGUUGGCCAACCCGCGAGGGGGAGCAAAUCUCAUCAAAGCCGAUCUCAGUUCAGAUUGCAGGCUGAAACUCGCCUGCAUGAAGGAGGAGUUGCUAGUAACCGUGGGUCAGCAUACCACGGUGAAUACGUUCCCGGGUCUUGUACACACCGCCCGUCACACCACGAAAGUCGGCAACACCUGAAGCCGCCCGGCUAACCCCACUGCGUGGGGAGGCAAGCGUCGAGGGUGGGGUCGGUGAUUGGGGUGAAGUCGUAACAAGGUAACC
This 1475-nucleotide ribosomal RNA is filed under the name uncultured bacterium. Its description in RNAcentral is "16S ribosomal RNA". It matches the Rfam family "Bacterial small subunit ribosomal RNA". The record is from RNAcentral.